AGGGCGGUCCAGGAACAAGGGCUGGGCAAGACCGGUGCCAGCCGCCGCGGUAAUACCGGCAGCCCAAGUGAUGGCCGCUAUUAUUGGGCCUAAAGCGUCCGUAGCUGGCCGCGCAAGUCCAUCGGGAAAUCCGCCCGCUCAACGGGCGGCUGUCCGGCGGAAACUGUGUGGCUUGGGACCGGGAGGCCUGAGGGGUACGAUCGGGGUAGGAGUGAAAUCCUGUAAUCCCGCUCGGACCGCCGAUGGGGAAACCACCUCAGGAGAACGGAUCCGACAGUGAGGGACGAAAGCCAGGGUCUCGAACCGGAUUAGAUACCCGGGUAGUCCUGGCUGUAAACGAUGCUUGUUAGGUGUGACUCCCACUAUGAGUGGGUGUUGUGCCGUAGGGAAGCCGCUAAACAGGCCGCCUGGGAAGUACGUCUGCAAGGAUGAAACUUAAAGGAAUUGGCGGGGGAGCACUACAACCGGAGGAGCCUGCGGUUUAAUUGGACUCAACGCCGGACAUCUCACCAGCCCCGACUGUGAUAAUGACGAUCAGGUUGAUGACCUCAUCACGAGUCACAGAGAGGAGGUGCAUGGCCGCCGUCAGCUCGUACCGUGAGGCGUCCUGUUAAGUCAGGCAACGAGCGAGACCCGGGUCCUUACUUGCCAGCAACGUCGUGAGACGGUUGGGGACAGUAGGGAGACUGCCGUCGCGAAGACGGAGGAAGGAACGGGCAACGGUAGGUCAGUAUGCCCCGAAUGGGCUGGGCAACACGCGGGCUACAAUGGUCGGGACAACGGGUUCCUACACCGAAAGGUGACGGUAAUCUCGCAAACCCGAUCGUAGUUCGGAUUGUGGGCUGGAACUCGCCCACAUGAAGCUGGAUUCGGUAGUAAUCGCGUGUCAGAAGCGCGCGGUGAAUACGUCCCUGCUCCUUGCACACACCGCCCGUCAAAGCACCCGAGUGAGGUCCGGAUGAGGCUCCCAAACGGGAGUCGAAUCCGGGUUUCGCAAGGGGGCUUAAGUCGUAACAAGGUAGCCGUAGGGGAAUCUGCGGCUG
RNAcentral lists this ribosomal RNA (1043 nucleotides) under hypersaline lake metagenome. RNAcentral's name for it is "bacterial SSU rRNA". It matches the Rfam family "Archaeal small subunit ribosomal RNA", at positions 421 to 1467 of the family's 1478-position model. The record is from RNAcentral.